CUAAGCCCGAUUUCAUUAAUUCUAUCUAAAACUCUGUGCCUUUUUCUCUCAAGUCUCUCAGCUCAACCGAUCACAAACUGGGCAUCUCUCAAGUCUGUAGUGAACCCCCAGCCAUCGACCACAGAGCACCCGCUGCCCUACCGGAACCCUAAUCUCAAAUUCAUCAACGGAGGUGCAUUUGAACAAAACCCUAAUUUCAGCAGCGGCGGUGCAUUUGAAGAAAACCCUGAUAGCCCAUCUAACAAUCGUCUGAGAAGGACCCAUUGAAGGAAGUAGAGGUACGAGUUGAUCUAGAGGAAGGUCCACCAGAUCCUAGGUCGAAAAUUUGGGGGAUUAAUUUGAAGAAGAAGAAGAAGAAAUUGGGGCCAAUUUUUUGGAGGGCUUGAAGUCUUCAUCGAAGUUGAUUGACGCGUUUUUGUUUGGUUGCCCAAAAUACCACCGGCACUCUCUUUCUCACCUUUAUCAGUUGAUCAAUCAGGAGCAGUCGAGCUAAUAGCUGGAAAUUGGAAUCAGUUGUAGAUCUUUGAAACAAAGGCGAGUACUGAAGUUUCCUUUUACUUAUCACCUUAAUUUGCUUCAUUAACUCUGCUACUUGCAAUUUAUGUUAUCUCAAUUUACUUUUUGAUUUAUUAUAUAUACACGUGUGUGCGCUUAUUGUGCGCCUUAAACCAUUAUCUUAUUGGCCAGAAAUUAACAGUCAAAGACAGGUCUCAAGUUUAGAUAGUUCACAUUUUACACUUCUUCUUCUUCUGUUCUUUUUUCAUCUUUCUCCUUUAGAGUGGAAUAUAUGAUAUCCACUAUCUGCUUUGCUUUGUUCACACCAAAGAGGAAUAAUCUUUUGUGCAUUAAUACUUUGUUCUUACAGAGUAAUCCUUAUUUUAGAAUAGCAUUUCAUCACUUAAUAGUGUUAUAAUCUCAUUGUCUCUGCAUAGUGAUCCUCCGUAGUCAAGAGGCCAGCUAAACAUAAAUCAAUGGCCAUUGGAAUUUGUUAGAAAUAAUUGGAAUGCUGUUCUUCUAAAUAAGUAAUGCUUAUAGUAAAUGUAAGUCACCAAUUGUUGAUUCAUCCAAAAAAAAAAAAUCACCAAUUGUUGAGACUUGAGUUUCAUUUAUGUCCUGUCUCAUAUAUGUGUUUCAUGUACUCUUGGCCUUUGUGGGCAGAAAAACAAGUAUUUAUGAAGUUCUCCAGACAAUAACGUGUUCUCUUGCUUCAGAGAGAGGGGAGAAGUUGGGUGAUUCAGUUGGAUAUAAGGUUCGGUUAGAGACUUAGAAGGCAUGAAAGGAAGAGAUACAUGCCUUCUCUUCUGCACCACUAGCAUUUUUGUUGAGAAGAUUGCUAGUUGAUGGAAAUUUGAAAGGUAUAACUCAUGUCAUUGUGGAUGAGAUUCACGAACGCAGAAUGAAUGAAGAUUUUUUGCUUAUUGUUCUCAAGGACCUCCUUCCUUCGGCUAGAACUGAGGUUGAUUCUGAUGAGUGCAACCCUAGAUUCUGAGCUUUUCUGGCAGGGCUCAGAUAAUUCAUGUUCCAGGUCUUACAUACCCUGUUCGAACUCAUUUUCUGUAGGAUGUUUUGGAAAGUACGGGUUGCAGGUUAACUCCAUACAAUCAGAUUGAUGAAAGUGCAAGGCAUAGUGCUUAAGAUGCAUUUGCUUGUAUGAGAUUAACAUUUUGGCAUAGUGCUUUUUGUAAUCACAAGGCAAAGUAGUAAUUGAAGUGAUUGUAAAAAGCUGGUGGUGGUGGGACUUUGAGUUUGGAAUUUGGAGUGCUCAGCCAAUUGACAAAUGAUCCUAAUUCCUCACUUGAGACCUGCUGAAUAUAAGAGAACUGGUAAUGCAGCAGAAGUGUUAUGUUCUAUAUUGGGCAAAAGGCAGAAAUAUACAUAAAGAGAGAGAACUGGUAAGCAGCAAAAAUUUAGCAUUCUAGCAGACUACGGAGGCCAAGCCACAGGAGGAAAAACAAAUGUCCAAGUGCUAGAGUACAAUGAAAUUAUUUGCUAUCCAGCUUCAAUAGUUAGAUUUCAUGGAACAAUUAAUGACUAUUGUAAAUGUAUUUUGGUGGCUGUAAUAACAGAAUAUAUGUAUUUUUAAUGAGUGAAAUGACUUUUGGGGUUUUCAGAAUGAAUGAGAACAUCAAUGAAUGGCAGGAACAAA
Molecule: long non-coding RNA, 2146 nt
Organism: Rosa chinensis
Lineage: Eukaryota; Viridiplantae; Streptophyta; Magnoliopsida; Rosales; Rosaceae
Exons: 7
Source: RefSeq, a predicted model, not a curated record